This 332-nucleotide ribosomal RNA is filed under the name uncultured Bacillota bacterium. RNAcentral describes it as "bacterial SSU rRNA". It matches the Rfam family "Bacterial small subunit ribosomal RNA", at positions 28 to 351 of the family's 1533-position model. The record is from RNAcentral. Lineage: Bacteria; Bacillati; Bacillota.
GACGAACGCUGGCGGCGUGCCUAAUACAUGCAAGUCGAGCGAACUGAAGGGAGCUUGCUCCCGGACGUUAGCGGCGGACGGGUGAGUAACACGUGGGUAACCUGCCUGUAAGACUGGGAUAACUCCGGGAAACCGGAGCUAAUACCGGAUAUUUUCUUGAACCGCAUGGUUCAAAAUGAAAGACGGUUUCGGCUGUCACUUAUAGAUGGGCCCGCGGCGCAUUAGCUAGUUGGUGAGGUAACGGCUCACCAAGGCCACGAUGCGUAGCCGACCUGAGAGGGUGAUCGGCCACACUGGGACUGAGACACGGCCCAGACUCCUACGGGUGGCAG